UAUAAUCAAUUAUAACAAAAUAAUUUAAUCUGUUAAUCAUUAAUGUUCUAAUCAUUAUAUCAUUAAUGAUUUCUCAACAACACACAAAACCACACCUUUCCCCCAAAUCAAUUUCACGUGUUCAUUAUUCUCAACCUUCUUGUUAUUCUACUUCAUUCUUCUUCUUCAUCCAAGCACUAGCACUAGCAUUCUCAACCUGUCCAGAUCUACACUAAGUAUAAGGUAAUUAACCUCCAUUUCUUCUAUCUCUUUUACUUAAUUUCAUGCAUGCAUUUGGAUGCUAUUUAUUGAAUGUUGAAAUAGCUAAAUUAUUAUAUUCAUAAUGAUUGUUGGCUUAUUUUUGUUAUAGUUAUUCUUAAGAGUAAGAAUAAGUUUCUGAUUUGUUGGGUGUUCUUUGUCCUGCAUGUUUGUUAAAUGGAAAAGGGGCUUCUCCUUAAUUGCUAUUAGGAAAUGUAAAAUACCACUAUUUUGGUUUUUUUGGUUGCUUAUCAAUCUUGUGUUAGUAUGUAAAUGAACCCAUAACCUUUACCAUAGUCAAAAUAUAAGUGGGUUUUUAAUUGUUGUUACUAAUACUAAUAUAUUUGUACAAUUAAUCCAUGAAAAUUGUUACUACUACCCUUUAGAAUUUAACUAGUAAUUUCAAUUUUUUUGUUUUCAACAGGAAGAGAAAUUUUGAAAAAUGGCUUCUAAGGGAAAGGGUGUUCAUGUUGGCGGCACUUCUUGCGGAACGAAGAAACAGGGUAAACUAAAUGAGAGGGGACUUAUUCUAAACAAAUCUGAGAGGGAAAGGUACAAAAUGCUUUUGAACAGAGACAUUGUACCAAAUAGGUAUCCCGAUUCANNNNN
RNAcentral lists this long non-coding RNA (846 nucleotides) under Medicago truncatula (barrel medic). RNAcentral's name for it is "long non-coding RNA (MTRU_LNC005043)". The record is from RNAcentral. Lineage: Eukaryota; Viridiplantae; Streptophyta; Magnoliopsida; Fabales; Fabaceae.